RNAcentral lists this transfer RNA (67 nucleotides) under Eomantis yunnanensis. Its description in RNAcentral is "tRNA-His". Lineage: Eukaryota; Metazoa; Arthropoda; Insecta; Mantodea; Nanomantidae. The record is from RNAcentral.
AACCUAUGAUAUACUUAUAUCUGUGAUGCCACAAAUCACAAUUUUAUUUAUUUUAAACUACUUAGGU